CCUACGGGUGGCAGCAGUAGGGAAUAUUGCUCAAUGGGGGAAACCCUGAAGCAGCAACGCCGCGUGGAGGAUGAAGGUUUUCGGAGUGGAAACGCCUGUUGUUAGAGAAGAGAAGGACGGUAGCUAACGAAUAAGCACCGGCUAACUCCGUGCCAGCAGCCGCGGUAAUACGGAGGGUGCAAGCGUUACUCGGAACCACUGGGCGUAAAGAGCGCGUAGGCGGGAUAGCAAGUCAGAUGUGAAAUCCUAGGGCUUAACCCUAGAACUGCAUUUGAAACUGUUAUUCUAGAGUAUGGGAGAGGUCGGUGGACUUCUUGGUGUCGGGGUCAAAUCCGUAGAGCUC
This 343-nucleotide ribosomal RNA is filed under the name uncultured bacterium. RNAcentral describes it as "partial 16S ribosomal RNA". It matches the Rfam family "Bacterial small subunit ribosomal RNA", at positions 338 to 698 of the family's 1533-position model. The record is from RNAcentral.